RNAcentral lists this small RNA (125 nucleotides) under Serratia liquefaciens. Its description in RNAcentral is "RtT sRNA". It matches the Rfam family "RtT RNA". Rfam says of the family: This family represents a bacterial cis-regulatory element known as RtT RNA. The exact function of RtT is unknown although it is thought that it may be involved in changing the cellular response in relation to amino acid starvation. The record is from RNAcentral. Lineage: Bacteria; Pseudomonadati; Pseudomonadota; Gammaproteobacteria; Enterobacterales; Yersiniaceae.
UAUUUUUCCGUGUCGUGCUGGAUGAGAACCUGCGUUCAGGUUCGAGCCGAGCGAAGCGAGACGACAACGCACAGCGUUGCCCGCAGGGCGAGGCCCAAGGCCGAGUCAAUCCUGCACGACNNCCA